RNAcentral lists this ribosomal RNA (480 nucleotides) under uncultured bacterium. RNAcentral's name for it is "partial 16S ribosomal RNA". It matches the Rfam family "Bacterial small subunit ribosomal RNA", at positions 29 to 507 of the family's 1533-position model. The record is from RNAcentral.
AUGCACGCUGGCGGCGUGCCUAACACAUGCCAGUCGAACGGAGAUUACGGACGGAAGUUUUCGGAUGGAAGCCUGUAAUUCUUAGUGGCGGACGGGUGAGUAACGCGUGGGCAACCUGCCCUAUACAGGGGGAUAGCAGCUGGAAACGGCUGGUAAGACCGCAUAAGUCGGUUAAAUCGCAUGAUUUGAUCGGGAAAUGAGCAAUCAGGUAUAGGAUGGGCCCGCGUCCGAUUAGCCAGUUGGCAGGGUAAAAGCCUACCAAAGCGACGAUCGGUAGCCGGACUGAGAGGUCGGACGGCCACAUUGGGACUGAGACACGGCCCAAACUCCUACGGGAGGCAGCAGUGGGGGAUAUUGCACAAUGGAGGAAACUCUGAUGCAGCGACGCCGCGUGAGUGAAGAAGUAUUUCGGUAUGUAAAGCUCUAUCAGCAGGGAAGAUGAUGACGGUACCUGACUAAGAAGCCCCGGCUAACUACGUG